Hibiscus syriacus is the source of this 107-nucleotide small nucleolar RNA. The record is from RefSeq and is a predicted model, not a curated record. Lineage: Eukaryota; Viridiplantae; Streptophyta; Magnoliopsida; Malvales; Malvaceae.
AAUCCAUGCAUAGGACAUUUCCUUAGGAAUUCUUUGAAUCUCUCCUAAGCCUCAUACAAACUUUCAUCCUUAAUUUGCUUGAAUGAAGUCAGAUUGUUUUGCAGCUU